Long non-coding RNA from Phycodurus eques (leafy seadragon), 787 nucleotides. RefSeq lists it as uncharacterized. Lineage: Eukaryota; Metazoa; Chordata; Actinopteri; Syngnathiformes; Syngnathidae. The transcript is spliced from 3 exons. The record is from RefSeq and is a predicted model, not a curated record.
GAUCAUGGGUAAUACAUCUCCUUUCCCUUCUCGCCAUGCGGGAGGAGCGACGAUCGUGCUUCAGCAAAUCUUCCUGAAUUUGGACCGAAUGUUGCGAAUCGUCGACGCUUGACGCCCCUGAUCGCGACUUUAGUGGACUAAAACAUCAUUCGUGCCAUCUUCGUGUCCGGUUGGAGUCGCCUCGUGCACGUCGAAGCUUCUCGGCCUAGCUUAGCUUAGCUUAGCUUAGCUUGCUAGCAAAGAGACGCGUUUGGGAUCAACACUUCGCUCAGCAGAGAUCAAGCGGGAGUGUUGCGAUCGUCGUGUGAAAAUGUGUGCAAGGACAGCAGAGUACGAGGAGGAACUUUGGGGCCCAAAAGAGGAGAAGGAGCCACAACGUCAACUGCUGGACGCUGCGUUCAAUCUGCAGCCUCGAAUUGUGCUCCGCAGAGCAGACAUCACUAAAGAUCUUCGUCCUGACCAGCAGGAGCCAGAGCCCCUUCACAUUAAAGAGGAAGUGGAGGACGAAGAACGCACACUGGUGAGAAACCUUUUUCCUGCUUAGUUUGUGGCCAAAUGUUCUGUUAUACGUAUCAGGCUAAGACACACAAGUGUGCGGGUGAGAAGAGCAGUGAUCAAGAAGCUUUUUAAUGAAAAUGUCAAUGUUUAAUCUGAGAACUAAUGACCUGAUUUACAAAAGUCUACAGUCUUGUAUUCUGUGUACCAGAUUUUAUUGUAUUCUUCUUCUUGUCCAUAUAUUUUCUCAAAGAGCCAAAAUACUUUAAAGGGACUAGUUGAAGGUGAGAAC